This 3903-nucleotide long non-coding RNA is filed under the name Medicago truncatula (barrel medic). Its description in RNAcentral is "long non-coding RNA (MTRU_LNC007968)". The record is from RNAcentral. Lineage: Eukaryota; Viridiplantae; Streptophyta; Magnoliopsida; Fabales; Fabaceae.
UAUCUCUAGGUUCCUAUGUUGAAUUAAACAGAAUUACUAUUUCAGGAUUAAAAGCUAGGGUUAGUAGUCAUUCAAUUCCUAAGAUCAAUUUAUGUGAUUGCAAGAAGCUAGGGUUAAUAGUCAUGCAAGCAAUCAUAUGAAAAGCAAUGAACACAAAUAAUUCUGAAUAAAGACUGAAUAAUAUUGAUAAUAAAGAGAGUUUCAACUACAUUCAUAUAUUACAAUAGGUUCAUCAUGGCUCAAUCAAAGAGAAUUAGCUAGACAUGAUUAAAUAAAUAAACAACAUAGUAAGAAAAUAAAUCGAUAGAGUUUCGUCGAUGUCGGCGUUGCUCCUCAAUCUUCUUUCAAUCUGUGUUGUUUUCUCUCUCCCCUGUAGCGUCCCUUUUCCAAAACGUAAAUCCUAUAUUUAUUUCUUCCAAAAGUGUGAUCACCUUUCCUUGUUCCUGUACGUUUUCUCCUAUAAGCCCAUCAAUUAAUAUGUUGCUUUUUGUCACCUCUUGUUUUUCUCUUCUUUGAUUAUAUAAAUAUAACCAAUAAUAAUGAUAAUAACCUAUUAAUUCCAAUCAUUUGCUUGCUUGACUCAAUAGACCAAAAAUACCAUACUUUAUUUAAAUUGACUCUAAAUUAAAUACUAAACUAAUAAAACUAGACUAAAAACUUAUUAAAAAAAAACUUUAAAAAUAGUGAAUGACUGACUGUCAUCACAACCCCAAACUUGAACCAUUCCUUGUCCUCAAGGAUUUACUUGUAACAUUGACAAUUGACAGUAAAAUAACAAUUACCUGAUCAAGCGAUAGUACCCAAAAGUUCAACACCUUACUAGCUAAAGAUGAGCUAGUUUGACUUGUUAGCAACCACCAAUUCACAACUCCACGCAACAAUAUGAAAGGGUUCACACACAGUCGACAUGCAAUCUACAUAUUACCAUACGCUUGAAAAGUUUCUAAACGUCAAUCAAAAUCAAUGUCAAUGCACACUUUGAGGUCUUUAACGGUUAUAACGGGGCUUAGGUGAAGGUGAGAUAAUAUUUGGAUAAGUAGGCUACACAAAAUUUGAGUUAGGCAUUCCUACGGAAGUUAAGCACAAAAUUCAAUCCAUCAUUCAUUCACCUUUUGGAACAACAAUUCUUGCAAGGGUACUAGAAAUUAUUUAUAACAAUCGGGACAAUCGAGUUUGAAGUUACUCGGUUUUUCAAUGUCAUGUCCCUUUUUCAUUCUAUUAUAUUCUCUUUUUUUUUUUUUUGAACACACCAUUUUGGCAUAUUGUUUUCAUGAGAAUGUUUUUUUUUUCUUUGUUCUCUAGUACCCCACCCCAAACUUAAUUGGUUGCAAAUUCCAUUAGCAACCCCAAACUUAAUAUUUAGCAACAUUCUUCAAUGCCUAACUCAGAAAAACAAUAAGGGAUAAAUCCUAAAAGUCUCCAAGCUUGUAAUGUAGUUUGUCACCGAACAAAAAGUUCUAAACCUACCGGCUCAAUUUGGCUAAAGAAAGGAUAAUUAUUCAAAUAUAAACAGGGUAGGCUUCAAAAAGGCUCACAGGACCAAGCACUUUUGCCUCAGUGUGCUAAUGACAAAGAUCAAUCGACAGUAGAGAAAAAUUGCAAGUUCUAGAAAUGUAAAUGCAUGGAACACUCUUUAGAAGUAAAUUAGAAAAUAAAAUUUGGCCAUGAACCUUACAGUUUAGAUUUCUGGGAGUUGUGACUACCUAUCCUUAACUGCAGUACACUUCGCCUUUGAAAUCACAAGUCACUCCUCCUUUUGAACUUUUGGAAUACCACUUGAACACAUAUUUGUUACUAAACUGGAAAAAGUCAAUAAAACAAGAAAAUUCAUCAAUAAUAAACAAGUGCAAGAACAAUUACAUAACAGGGGGAUACAACUGAGUUAUUCAAACACACUGACAAUUGCCUGACUCAACAAUAGGAAUAAAAUACUGAAAAUAAAAACAUAAUAAAAAUGAUGGGUUGCCUCCCAUCAAGCGCUUUAUUUUACGUCAUUGAGCUUGACGCUCCAACCACUGUUAGGGUGGCAAAUAUGAUAGAAAGAAUAUAUCAUCCUUCUUCUUCCUCUUGUUUGGUAGGAAUUCCAUGAAUUUGGCACAAAGCAGUAGAUGCUCCCAUGCUCCAGCCACUAAAUCUUUGUCAUUUGAGCUCUCCCACCUUAAAGAAGGACAUGCAUCUAUUUGCACAAGAGUGAUUUCCUUAACCCCCGUUGAUCCAGACUUCGAGAAAAUAUCAACACUCCUCACUUUGGAAUUUUCUUCUACCACAACCUUGUGACACACAGUCUCCAUCUGAACCAACUUCCUCUGAGACUCAUGUGCUUUCUCAACAAGAUUACCACACUGAACAUCAAACUUCUCAAAUAAAACUUGAUUUGACACCAAGAAAUCAUCUAAAAUAUUUUGAAGUUGAGUAUUGUAACCGAUGUUGAUCAUCUCUUUCUUCUCUUCACAAUUACUACCUGGUUGAUCCCCCUCAUAACGACCACAUCUCUCAUUUAAUCUUGAGAUUUUAUUGUCAAAAUAUCCUAUCUUCAAAGAUAGCAUAUAUUUUUCAUACUUCAACAUACCAAUCUCUUUUGUGUCAUGGAGGUAUAACCUGUCUAUCAUAGCUGCAACACUUGAAUAAACUUUUUAGUAGCACAGUACAAUGAGAAGAAAAAGAAGAGCAUAAAUCAUUUUUUUUUUAUAAACAAAAAUAUAAAUGACAGAAAUCCUAAAUAAAAACAAAAUUACCAAAUUGAAAUGACUCAACAGUCCCCGGCAGCAGCGCCAAAAACUUGAUAAAAUUUUAGCAAGUGUACUAAAACUAUCGAAGUAAUAAAAUAAAUUCGUAUCCACGAGGACUGUGUUAAUCUCAACUUAGCAAUAAAGUUAAUAUCUAGGAUGUGUAAAUUUUAUAAGUGUCUGAGGCAGUAGAUUAGGGUGCAAUAAAAAGUAAAUAAUAGGAAAUAAAAUGGUUUGAUGAUUGGAUUAAAACAGAUGAUCAAGCCAGUGAAUCCUCUAUUGCUUUAUGUGAAAUAGCUUAUCUCUCUUUACUCUCAACACUUAUUCAAUCUUUACGACAAAUUAACUAAUUAGUUUUGAUCAAUCUCUUGACUCAAAACCCUUUCCUAAGUUAAAACAUUUUAAUCUCUUAAACCGAUUGAAUAACCGCGGAAGCGAUGUCAGAAUGUUAAUUCAUAUGUCAUAACCCUCAAUUUCCUAUCUCUAGGUUCCUAUGUUGAAUUAAACAGAAUUACUAUUUCAGGAUUAAAAGCUAGGGUUAGUAGUCAUUCAAUUCCUAAGAUCAAUUUAUGUGAUUGCAAGAAGCUAGGGUUAAUAGUCAUGCAAGCAAUCAUAUGAAAAACAAUGAACACAAAUAAUUCUGAAUAAAGACUGAAUAAUAUUGAUAAUAAAGAGAGUUUCAACUACAUUCAUAUAUUACAAUAGGUUCAUCAUGGCUCAAUCAAAGAGAAUUAGCUAGACAUGAUUAAAUAAAUAAACAACAUAGUAAGAAAAUAAACCGAUAGAGUUUCGUCGAUGUCGGCGUUGCUCCUCAAUCUUCUUUCAAUCUGUGUUGUUUUCUCUCCCCUGUAGCGUCCCUUUUCCAAAACGUAAAUCCUAUAUUUAUUUCUUCCAAAAGUGUGAUCACCUUUCCUUGUUCCUGUACGUUUUCUCCUAUAAGCCCAUCAAUUAAUAUGUUGCUUUUUGUCACCUCUUGUUUUUCUCUUCUUUGAUUAUAUAAAUAUAACCAAUAAUAAUGAUAAUAACCUAUUAAUUCCAAUCAUUUGCUUGCUUGACUCAAUAGACCAAAAAUACCAUACUUUAUUUAAAUUGACUCUAAAUUAAAUACUAAACUAAUAAAACUAGACUAAAAACUUAUUAAAAAAAAACUUUAAAAAUAGUGAAUGACUGACUGUCA